AAGUCGUAACAAGGUUUCCGUAGGUAACAGGUUUGCCUACUGAGGCCCGGCAGCGACUCUAAUCAACUUGCCACGGCUGGCACCCACAGGUGUCGGCAACAUCGUUCAAGUGCUGGAAUUAGUGAGUAGUUAGCCACGAAUAUCAGCAGCCGCGUAUUGGUCGCGGUCCACAGAUCAACCAACGAUGCCUAACGAUAGGUGAGAUAUGGUCGGGCUCAGACCCUUUAUCAGGCUCUGACUUCGCGGAACCUGCGGAAGGAUCAUUACCGAGAGACGGGGGUCUAACAGGCCCCACUCUUCACCCUUGUAUAUCUAUCUAUGUUGCUUUGGCGGGCCCCUGAGCUUACCAGCCCGGGCGCCGGUCGAGGGUUACUCGCCCAAGCCCGGUGAGCGCCCGCCAGAAGCCCCCUAGUAUUCUCAUAUUAUGACGUCUGAUAUAAUUAAUAGUUAAAA
This 453-nucleotide unclassified non-coding RNA is filed under the name plant metagenome. Its description in RNAcentral is "partial contains small subunit ribosomal RNA and internal transcribed spacer 1". The record is from RNAcentral.